UACGGGGGGGGCAAGCGUUGUUCGGAAUUACUGGGCGUAAAGGGCUCGUAGGCGGCCAGCUAAGUCAGACGUGAAAUCCCUCGGCUUAACCGGGGAACUGCGUCUGAUACUGGAUGGCUAGAGUUUGGGAGAGGGAUGCGGAAUUCCAGGUGUAGCGGUGAAAUGCGUAGAUAUCUGGAGGAACACCGGUGGCGAAGGCGGCAUCCUGGACCAACACUGACGCUGAGGAGCGAAAGCCAGGGGAGCAAACGGG
RNAcentral lists this ribosomal RNA (253 nucleotides) under uncultured bacterium. RNAcentral describes it as "partial 16S ribosomal RNA". It matches the Rfam family "Bacterial small subunit ribosomal RNA", at positions 524 to 776 of the family's 1533-position model. The record is from RNAcentral.